RNAcentral lists this ribosomal RNA (497 nucleotides) under uncultured bacterium. RNAcentral describes it as "partial 16S ribosomal RNA". It matches the Rfam family "Bacterial small subunit ribosomal RNA", at positions 28 to 507 of the family's 1533-position model. The record is from RNAcentral.
GAUGAACGCUGGCGGCGUGCCUAAUACAUGCAAGUCGAGCGAACGGACGAGAAGCUUGCUUCUCUGAUGUUAGCGGCGGACGGGUGAGUAACACGUGGAUAACCUACCUAUAAGACUGGGAUAACUUCGGGAAACCGGAGCUAAUACCGGAUAAUAUUUUGAUCCGCAUGGUUCAAAAGUGAAAGACGGUCUUGCUGUCACUUAUAGAUGGAUCCGCGCUGCAUUAGCUAGUUGGUAAGGUAACGGCUUAUCAAGGCAACGAUGCAUAGCCGACCUGAUAGGGUGAUCGGCCCCACUGGAACUGAGACACGGUCCAGACUCCUACGGGAGGCAGCAGUAGGGAAUCUUCCGCAAUGGGCGAAAGCCUGACGGAGCAACGCCGCGUGAGUGAUGAAGGUCUUCGGAUCGUAAAACUCUGUUAUUAGUGAAGAACAUAUGUGUAAGUAACUGUGCACAUCUUGACGGUACCUAAUCAGAAAGCCACGGCUAACUACGUG